Molecule: ribosomal RNA, 275 nt
Filed under: uncultured bacterium
Lineage: Bacteria
Description: partial 16S ribosomal RNA
Rfam family: Bacterial small subunit ribosomal RNA
Source: RNAcentral
GCGUGAGCGAUGACGGCCUUAGGGUUGUAAAGCUCUUUCACCGGUGACGAUAAUGACGGUAGCCGGAGAAGAAGCCCCGGCUAACUCCGUGCCAGCAGCCGCGGUAAUACGGAGGGGGCUAGCGUUGUUCGGAAUUACUGGGCGUAAAGCGCGCGUAGGCGGACUGUUUAGUCGGGGGUGAAAUCCCGGGGCUCAACCCCGGAAUGGCCUUCGAUACUGGCAGUCUGGAGGUCGAGAGAGGCGAGUGGAAUUCCGAGUGUAGAGGUGAAAUUCGU